GCUCCCAACGCGACCCCAGCUCAGGCGGGACUACCCGCUGAGUU
RNAcentral lists this ribosomal RNA (44 nucleotides) under Fagus sylvatica subsp. sylvatica. RNAcentral's name for it is "partial 25S ribosomal RNA". Lineage: Eukaryota; Viridiplantae; Streptophyta; Magnoliopsida; Fagales; Fagaceae. The record is from RNAcentral.